AGUAACACGUGGAUAACCUACCUAUAAGACUGGGAUAACUUCGGGAAACCGGAGCUAAUACCGGAUAAUAUUUUGAACCGCAUGUUCAAAAGUGAAAGACGGUCUUGCUGUCACUUAUAGAUGGAUCCGCGCUGCAUUAGCUAGUUGGUAAGGUAACGGCUUACCAAGGCAACGAUGCAUAGCCGACCUGAGAGGGUGAUCGGCCACACUGGAACUGAGACACGGUCCAG
RNAcentral lists this ribosomal RNA (230 nucleotides) under uncultured Staphylococcus sp. RNAcentral's name for it is "partial 16S ribosomal RNA". It matches the Rfam family "Bacterial small subunit ribosomal RNA", at positions 109 to 334 of the family's 1533-position model. Lineage: Bacteria; Bacillati; Bacillota; Bacilli; Caryophanales; Staphylococcaceae. The record is from RNAcentral.